CCGAUGGGCAAUCAGGCAUCAGAAUUCAUCAAUAUGUAACCCUGAUCGAAAAAUCCCAACCAGUGGGACUCUUGACCCCGAUACCCAUAAUGUUGGAACUCAUGAUCAAAGAAUCCUGAUUCUCGAUCACUGAGUCCCAAACAUGUAAGAUUCUACAUCAGCCAUCAGAUCAGAUAAGAACCACUAAUGUGUGUGACCGCGCAGGUUCGAACCUAAGUCGGUAGCACAGGAACCAAUUCCUGUACUAAUCGAAGUGACCAUCUAGCAAUGAUACCCG
This 277-nucleotide long non-coding RNA is filed under the name Elaeis guineensis (African oil palm). RNAcentral describes it as "long non-coding RNA (EGUI_LNC056637)". Lineage: Eukaryota; Viridiplantae; Streptophyta; Magnoliopsida; Arecales; Arecaceae. The record is from RNAcentral.